CCCGCCAUAGUUUAUAUAAAACAUCGACCUGCAAAAUCGAGAAAGGAGAGUGCUUCCUGGUGUGUACU
This 68-nucleotide transfer RNA is filed under the name Antarctoneptunea benthicola. RNAcentral's name for it is "tRNA-Cys". The record is from RNAcentral. Lineage: Eukaryota; Metazoa; Mollusca; Gastropoda; Neogastropoda; Buccinidae.